This 84-nucleotide transfer RNA is filed under the name Panus rudis PR-1116 ss-1. RNAcentral's name for it is "tRNA-Pro". It matches the Rfam family "tRNA". Rfam says of the family: Transfer RNA (tRNA) molecules are approximately 80 nucleotides in length. Their secondary structure includes four short double-helical elements and three loops (D, anti-codon, and T loops). The record is from RNAcentral. Lineage: Eukaryota; Fungi; Basidiomycota; Agaricomycetes; Polyporales; Panaceae.
GGCCUGGUGGUCUAGUAGUAUGAUUCCUUCUUAGGGUUUAACCCCAUUUGGAGGAGGUCCCGGGUUCAAUUCCCGGCCAGGCCC